RNAcentral lists this ribosomal RNA (468 nucleotides) under uncultured bacterium. RNAcentral describes it as "partial 16S ribosomal RNA". It matches the Rfam family "Bacterial small subunit ribosomal RNA", at positions 28 to 507 of the family's 1533-position model. The record is from RNAcentral.
GACGAACGCUGGCGGCGUGCUUAACACAUGCAAGUCGAACGGAAAGGCCCUGCUUUUGUGGGGUGCUCGAGUGGCGAACGGGUGAGUAACACGUGAGUAACCUGCCCUUGACUUUGGGAUAACUUCAGGAAACUGGGGCUAAUACCGGAUAGGAUCUCCUGCUGCAUGGUGGGGGUUGGAAAGUUUCGGCGGUUGGGGAUGGACUCGCGGCUUAUCAGCUUGUUGGUGGGGUAGUGGCUUACCAAGGCUUUGACGGGUAGCCGGCCUGAGAGGGUGACCGGCCACAUUGGGCCUGAGAUACGGCCCAGACUCCUACGGGAGGCAGCAGUGGAGAAUAUUGCACAAUGGGCGGAAGCCUGAUGCAGCAACGCCGCGUGCGGGAUGACGGCCUUCGGGUUGUAAACCGCUUUCGCCUGUGACGAAGCGUGAGUGACGGUAAUGGGUAAAGAAGCACCGGCUAACUACGUG